AAAACAACUUAGAACAGAAGCAGUAAUAUUGAUUGUAGUAAUAGAGAGUUUCUGAUGGUGGAAAUGAAACAUGCAUCGAUAUGAAUUCACAUCUGUGAGUUGAUUCUCUGAAUUAAGUAGGAGAACCCGGGCUUAGCCCGUUAUAGCUAAAGGUUGAUUAUUAACUUAUUGAGGCAAGUUACGUGAGUAACUUGUAAACAUGAGGUGGAAUCGCGAUUUCAUUCGCCCUCGUA
RNAcentral lists this non-coding RNA (233 nucleotides) under Lactobacillus acidophilus. RNAcentral describes it as "T-box sequence". It matches the Rfam family "T-box leader". Rfam says of the family: Uncharged tRNA acts as the effector for transcription antitermination of genes in the T-box leader family. Lineage: Bacteria; Bacillati; Bacillota; Bacilli; Lactobacillales; Lactobacillaceae. The record is from RNAcentral.